Molecule: long non-coding RNA, 344 nt
Organism: Sinocyclocheilus anshuiensis
Lineage: Eukaryota; Metazoa; Chordata; Actinopteri; Cypriniformes; Cyprinidae
Exons: 3
Source: RefSeq, a predicted model, not a curated record
UCUAUCCAACCUUACAUUUCCUGGAUCAGGUACCGUCUACUGCAAGCAUUACCCUGUACACAGACCUUUCUCCACAAAAGCACAUUGUAUUGGUGACUAGAGUGAUGGACAACCCGGAGUCAGGUCAUCUUGGGACAAAUUCUGGCCACUUGUUCAUUUCAGUAUUUGCUCUGUUUGCUGUACUGGCCACCACUGCUGCACUUUUCAUAGUGUACAAUACCAUGCCGUCUCUCACACAGACUGUACCUGCAAUCCUCAAACCUUCUACUAAUACAGGUGACACUCCCAUUUUAUUUGAUCCAGCUGCUUUACCUUAAAGGUACACUCAGUUCUUUUUAUGUUAA